RNAcentral lists this ribosomal RNA (461 nucleotides) under uncultured bacterium. Its description in RNAcentral is "partial 16S ribosomal RNA". It matches the Rfam family "Bacterial small subunit ribosomal RNA", at positions 339 to 795 of the family's 1533-position model. The record is from RNAcentral.
CUACGGGCUGCUCCAGUCGAGAAUCUUCCGCAAUGGACGAAAGUCUGACGGAGCGACGCCGCGUGCGGGAUGAAGGCCUUCGGGUUGUAAACCGCUGUCAGUGGGGAGGAAAUGCAUCAGGGUUCUCCCUGGUGUUUGACCGAUCCGCAGAGGAAGCGCAGGCUAAGUUCGUGCCAGCAGCCGCGGUAACACGAACUGCGCGAACGUUAUUCGGAAUCACUGGGCUUAAAGAGUUCGUAGGCGGCCCUUCAAGUCGGGUGUGAAAUCCCUCGGCUCAACCGAGGAAUUGCGCCUGAUACUGUUGGGCUUGAGGGGGAUAGGGGUGAGCGGAACUGAUGGUGGAGCGGUGAAAUGCGUUGAUAUCAUCAGGAACACCGGUGGCGAAGGCGGCUCACUGGAUCUCUUCUGACGCUGAGGAACGAAAGCUAGGGGAGCGAACGGGAUUAGAUACCCGAGUAGUC